This 93-nucleotide non-coding RNA is filed under the name uncultured Blautia sp. Lineage: Bacteria; Bacillati; Bacillota; Clostridia; Lachnospirales; Lachnospiraceae. The record is from RNAcentral.
UGUGAAGGGGUGCUUGUGUAAGCAGGCUGAGAGUAAGCUGUAUUGCUUUAACCCAUAACCUGAUUUGGAUAAUGCCAACGUAGGGAAGAGAGU